GACGACCGCUGGCGGCGUGCCUAAUACAUGCAAGUCGAACGAGUGGCGGACGGGUGAGUAACACGUGGGAACCUACCCAUCAGAGGGGGAUAACUACUCGAAAGAGAGGCUAAUACCGCAUACUAUUGGAGCGGCCGAUAUCGGAUUAGCUAGUUGGUGGGGAAAAGGCUCACCAAGGCAACGAUCCGUAGCUGGUUUGAGAGGACAACCAGCCACACUGGGACUGAGACACGGCCCAGACUCCUACGGGAGGCAGCAGUGGGGAAUUUUGGACAAUGGGGGAAACCCUGAUCCAGCCAUCCCGCGUGUAUGAGAAGGCCCUAGGGUUGUAAAGUACUUUCAGUCGGGAGGCGUUACCGACAGAAGAAGCACCGGCUAACUCCGUGCCAGCAGCCGCGGUAAUUC
Molecule: ribosomal RNA, 405 nt
Filed under: uncultured bacterium
Lineage: Bacteria
Description: partial 16S ribosomal RNA
Rfam family: Bacterial small subunit ribosomal RNA
Source: RNAcentral